Ixodes scapularis (black-legged tick) is the source of this 837-nucleotide RNA transcript. RefSeq lists it as uncharacterized. NCBI's taxonomy places the organism in Eukaryota, Metazoa, Arthropoda, Arachnida, Ixodida, Ixodidae. The transcript is spliced from 9 exons. The record is from RefSeq and is a predicted model, not a curated record.
AUGGCCGACAUAAAAAAGAAAUGGGCCGAUGCCAAGAGCAUCAACAAGAAGCGAGAAAGUCAGCGUGCCACUGGAGGCGGCGUAGGCGACGAGCCCCGCGAGAUGGAGGAGAGAAUAGUGGUGCUACUCAAAGAGGAGUCGGUGGAGGGCAUCCCAGGCGCCUUUGACAUUGGCGUUGCCCCGAUUCAAGAGGUGUUUGUGGGUGUGCCCUUCUCGCUGCUACUCUCGGGUACUCCUGCCAGGCCGAGCUCAGCAAGGCCAGUUCCCUCACUUGGUGAUCCUGCAAAAUUCCAAAACACCAGGCCGGCUCCGGAAGUUGAUAGCCAAGAAGCAAGCACGAGCACAAGUGGGCAACCAGAAUUGGGUGAUAUGUUGGCCCACUCUUCGGGCAAUCCGAAGUCACGCCAAGAAAAAGGGGACAAAGGACAAACACAAAUCUCCAACAGCAGCUAUGUGAUUGGGAUCAAGGAAGACCCCACAUGAAAGAUCAUUGAGGGACAACAGGCUAUCACAGCCCGCUUGGAUAGGCUUGUGGAACUGCACGAACAGAUGGUGGCUCUAAAAGCUUACAAACUUAAUAGGGUGCCACACAAGGGCAGGAGGACGGUGCCCAAAAGCGCUGCCAAGUUCACCACAAAGCCAUCAUCUGCUCCUGCAGUGAACCAAGGUGCCGGGGUGUCUCCUGUGGGACCACCACCUGCUGUCUCGGACGACGAAAGCACUGCCGAGGCUUCCAUCACUGCCACCUCACCGGUGACAUACAGUGUGCUGCGCCACGUAGAGGCCAUGUGCUCAACCUGCGACUGCAAGAGAACCAUGAAAGAGCAGGGCGUGUAG